Molecule: ribosomal RNA, 3029 nt
Filed under: Salmonella enterica subsp. enterica serovar Thompson
Lineage: Bacteria; Pseudomonadati; Pseudomonadota; Gammaproteobacteria; Enterobacterales; Enterobacteriaceae
Description: 23S ribosomal RNA
Rfam family: Bacterial large subunit ribosomal RNA
Source: RNAcentral
GGGUUGUGAGGUUAAGCGACUAAGCGUACACGGUGGAUGCCCUGGCAGUCAGAGGCGAUGAAGGGCGUGCUAAUCUGCGAUAAGCGCCGGUAAGGUGAUAUGAACCGUUAUAACCGGCGAUACCCGAAUGGGGAAACCCAGUGUGACUCGUCACACUAUCAUUAACUGAAUCCAUAGGUUAAUGAGGCGAACCGGGGGAACUGAAACAUCUAAGUACCCCGAGGAAAAGAAAUCAACCGAGAUUCCCCCAGUAGCGGCGAGCGAACGGGGAGGAGCCCAGAGCCUGAAUCAGCAUGUGUGUUAGUGGAAGCGUCUGGAAAGGCGCGCGAUACAGGGUGACAGCCCCGUACACAAAAGCGCAUGUGCUGUGAGCUCGAUGAGUAGGGCGGGACACGUGGUAUCCUGUCUGAAUAUGGGGGGACCAUCCUCCAAGGCUAAAUACUCCUGACUGACCGAUAGUGAACCAGUACCGUGAGGGAAAGGCGAAAAGAACCCCGGCGAGGGGAGUGAAAAAGAACCUGAAACCGUGUACGUACAAGCAGUGGGAGCCCCACCACUAAGCCAGUGGUGAACUCCACAUACGCAUCCUUUGCUGAAGGCAAUGGUUAACGGAGCGAAAGCGACGUUCAACCGCAAAACAAGCAGAGGGGGCUUAGUGGUGGGGUGACUGCGUACCUUUUGUAUAAUGGGUCAGCGACUUAUAUUCUGUAGCAAGGUUAACCGUAUAGGGGAGCCGGAGGGAAACCGAGUCUUAAUUGGGCGUUAAGUUGCAGGGUAUAGACCCGAAACCCGGUGAUCUAGCCAUGGGCAGGUUGAAGGUUGGGUAACACUAACUGGAGGACCGAACCGACUAAUGUUGAAAAAUUAGCGGAUGACCUGUGGCUGGGGGUGAAAGGCCAAUCAAACCGGGAGAUAGCUGGUUCUCCCCGAAAGCUAUUUAGGUAGCGCCUCGUGAAUUCAUCUCCGGGGGUAGAGCACUGUUUCGGCUAGGGGGCCAUCCCGGCUUACCAACCCGAUGCAAACUGCGAAUACCGGAGAAUGUUAUCACGGGAGACACACGGCGGGUGCUAACGUCCGUCGUGAAGAGGGAAACAACCCAGACCGCCAGCUAAGGUCCCAAAGUCAUGGUUAAGUGGGAAACGAUGUGGGAAGGCCCAGACAGCCAGGAUGUUGGCUUAGAAGCAGCCAUCAUUUAAAGAAAGCGUAAUAGCUCACUGGUCGAGUCGGCCUGCGCGGAAGAUGUAACGGGGCUAAACCAUGCACCGAAGCUGCGGCAGCGACGCUUAUGCGUUGUUGGGUAGGGGAGCGUUCUGUAAGCCUGCGAAGGUGGCCUGUGAGGGUUGCUGGAGGUAUCAGAAGUGCGAAUGCUGACAUAAGUAACGAUAAAGCGGGUGAAAAGCCCGCUCGCCGGAAGACCAAGGGUUCCUGUCCAACGUUAAUCGGGGCAGGGUGAGUCGACCCCUAAGGCGAGGCCGAAAGGCGUAGUCGAUGGGAAACAGGUUAAUAUUCCUGUACUUGGUGUUACUGCGAAGGGGGGACGGAGAAGGCUAUGUUGGCCGGGCGACGGUUGUCCCGGUUUAAGCGUGUAGGUGUGUGUUCCAGGUAAAUCCGGUUCACUUUAACACUGAGGCGUGAUGACGAGGCACUACGGUGCUGAAGCAACAAAUGCCCUGCUUCCAGGAAAAGCCUCUAAGCAUCAGGUAACAUCAAAUCGUACCCCAAACCGACACAGGUGGUCAGGUAGAGAAUACCAAGGCGCUUGAGAGAACUCGGGUGAAGGAACUAGGCAAAAUGGUGCCGUAACUUCGGGAGAAGGCACGCUGACACGUAGGUGAAGUGAUUUACUCAUGGAGCUGAAGUCAGUCGAAGAUACCAGCUGGCUGCAACUGUUUAUUAAAAACACAGCACUGUGCAAACACGAAAGUGGACGUAUACGGUGUGACGCCUGCCCGGUGCCGGAAGGUUAAUUGAUGGGGUCAGCGCAAGCGAAGCUCCUGAUCGAAGCCCCGGUAAACGGCGGCCGUAACUAUAACGGUCCUAAGGUAGCGAAAUUCCUUGUCGGGUAAGUUCCGACCUGCACGAAUGGCGUAAUGAUGGCCAGGCUGUCUCCACCCGAGACUCAGUGAAAUUGAACUCGCUGUGAAGAUGCAGUGUACCCGCGGCAAGACGGAAAGACCCCGUGAACCUUUACUAUAGCUUGACACUGAACAUUGAGCCUUGAUGUGUAGGAUAGGUGGGAGGCUUUGAAGCGUGGACGCCAGUCUGCGUGGAGCCGACCUUGAAAUACCACCCUUUAAUGUUUGAUGUUCUAACGUGGACCCGUAAUCCGGGUUGCGGACAGUGUCUGGUGGGUAGUUUGACUGGGGCGGUCUCCUCCUAAAGAGUAACGGAGGAGCACGAAGGUUGGCUAAUCCUGGUCGGACAUCAGGAGGUUAGUGCAAUGGCAUAAGCCAGCUUGACUGCGAGCGUGACGGCGCGAGCAGGUGCGAAAGCAGGUCAUAGUGAUCCGGUGGUUCUGAAUGGAAGGGCCAUCGCUCAACGGAUAAAAGGUACUCCGGGGACAACAGGCUGAUACCGCCCAAGAGUUCAUAUCGACGGCGGUGUUUGGCACCUCGAUGUCGGCUCAUCACAUCCUGGGGCUGAAGUAGGUCCCAAGGGUAUGGCUGUUCGCCAUUUAAAGUGGUACGCGAGCUGGGUUUAGAACGUCGUGAGACAGUUCGGUCCCUAUCUGCCGUGGGCGCUGGAGAACUGAGGGGGGCUGCUCCUAGUACGAGAGGACCGGAGUGGACGCAUCACUGGUGUUCGGGUUGUCAUGCCAAUGGCACUGCCCGGUAGCUAAAUGCGGAAGAGAUAAGUGCUGAAAGCAUCUAAGCACGAAACUUGCCCCGAGAUGAGUUCUCCCUGAGACUUAGAGUCUCCUGAAGGAACGUUGAAGACGACGACGUUGAUAGGCCGGGUGUGUAAGCGCAGCGAUGCGUUGAGCUAACCGGUACUAAUGAACCGUGAGGCUUAACCUUACAACGCCGAAG